Molecule: non-coding RNA, 138 nt
Organism: Theobroma umbraticum
Lineage: Eukaryota; Viridiplantae; Streptophyta; Magnoliopsida; Malvales; Malvaceae
Source: RefSeq, a predicted model, not a curated record
AGAAAGUUUGAAGUGUUGCCUAUAUUUUGCAAUGAUGCCACCAGAAAUGGUUGGUGAGAAGAUGUACACAGAGCAAUUUUAUGAUUCUGUCAAUGUUAUACUAUCUUUACAGAGUGAAAAUGGUGGUUUACCUGCUUG